GGGUGUAGCUCAGUGGUAGAGCACAUGCUUAGCAUGCAUGAGGUCCUGGGUUCAAUCCUCAGUACCUCCA
RNAcentral lists this transfer RNA (70 nucleotides) under Camelus ferus (Wild Bactrian camel). It matches the Rfam family "tRNA". Rfam says of the family: Transfer RNA (tRNA) molecules are approximately 80 nucleotides in length. Lineage: Eukaryota; Metazoa; Chordata; Mammalia; Artiodactyla; Camelidae. The record is from Rfam by way of RNAcentral.